GCUCCACCGAAAGAAAAAGAGUGGCGAACGGGUGAGUAACACGUGGGUAACCUGCCCAUCAGAAGGGGAUAACACUUGGAAACAGGUGCUAAUACCGUAUAACACUAUUUUCCGCAUGGAAGAAAGUUGAAAGGCGCUUUUGCGUCACUGAUGGAUGGACCCGCGGUGCAUUAGCUAGUUGGUGAGGUAACGGCUCACCAAGGCAACGAUGCAUAGCCGACCUGAGAGGGUGAUCGGCCACACUGGGACUGAGACACGGCCCAGACUCCUACGGGAGGCAGCAGUAGGGAAUCUUCGGCAAUGGACGAAAGUCUGACCGAGCAACGCCGCGUGAGUGAAGAAGGUUUUCGGAUCGUAAAACUCUGUUGUUAGAGAAGAACAAGGAUGAGAGUAAAAUGUUCAUCCCUUGACGGUAUCUAACCAGAAAGCCACGGCUAACUACGUGCCAGCAGCCGCGGUAAUACGUAGGUGGCAAGCGUUGUCCGGAUUUAUUGGGCGUAAAGCGAGCGCAGGCGGUUUCUUAAGUCUGAUGUGAAAGCCCCCGGCUCAACCGGGGAGGGUCAUUGGAAACUGGGAGACUUGAGUGCAGAAGAGGAGAGUGGAAUUCCAUGUGUAGCGGUGAAAUGCGUAGAUAUAUGGAGGAACACCAGUGGCGAAGGCGGCUCUCUGGUCUGUAACUGACGCUGAGGCUCGAAAGCGUGGGGAGCGAACAGGAUUAGAUACCCUGGUAGUCCACGCCGUAAACGAUGAGUGCUAAGUGUUGGAGGGUUUCCGCCCUUCAGUGCUGCAGCAA
Molecule: ribosomal RNA, 793 nt
Filed under: Enterococcus casseliflavus
Lineage: Bacteria; Bacillati; Bacillota; Bacilli; Lactobacillales; Enterococcaceae
Description: bacterial SSU rRNA
Rfam family: Bacterial small subunit ribosomal RNA
Source: RNAcentral